This is a long non-coding RNA of Callithrix jacchus (white-tufted-ear marmoset), 2808 nucleotides long. RefSeq lists it as uncharacterized. The record is from RefSeq and is a predicted model, not a curated record. NCBI's taxonomy places the organism in Eukaryota, Metazoa, Chordata, Mammalia, Primates, Cebidae.
UCAGCCUCCCAAAGUGCUGGGAUUACAGGCUUGAGCCACUGCGCCUGCCCUACCAGGACUUUCUUAAUGUAGAGAAGCUAAUUCCCCAAGAGGCUCUUAAAGGACAAUCUAGGAUGGAUAGACUAACAAUCAGCCCCUCCCCUUCUAAUACAUUAGCCUGGCUCAAUGUGUCAUCAGGAGCUUUGAUGUAGAUGGCAUGGAGCCCAGGCCUGGAAGGUUUUGAAAAGGCAGUGAAGUCCAGAGCACAGGACGCUGACUGAGAGAGGACACUCAAUGUCCCUCGGCAGCAGCAUUCGGUGGAGAAUGGCAAGAGCAGGAAGAGGACAUUCACAGGGGACAGGUUCUGCUCUGUCUCUUAGGCUUGAGUGCAGUGGCAUAAUCAUGGCUCGCUGCAACCUCCACCUCCCAGGCUCAAGGGAUCCUCCACCUCAUCCUCCCAGUAGCUGGAAUUACAGGAGUGCACCAACACGCCCAAAAAUACAAUAAUUUUUGUAUUUUUAGUAGAGACGGGGUUUCACCAUAUUGGCCAAGCCACUCUCAAACUCCUGGCCUCAAGCUAUCCACCUGCCUCAGCCUCCCAAAGUGCUGGGAUUACAAGUGUGAGCCACUGUGUCCAGUCAAAAAUGUCUUGGGCAGAAUUCAUCAUUAGUAAUGUCAUCCUCAAAAUGAAUGGUGGGGGGCAGGAGAGAAUCUGUACAAAGUAUUGAUUUUUCAGUUUUCCAAGAGCCUCCACAUGCAUUGUUUCAUUUGAUUCUUACCAAAUAUUACUUUGACUCCUACAUUUUUUUAAUGAGAAAAUGACUCAUCCAAUAGGCAUCCAUUGAGCUGGUCUUUGAACCCAAGCCUGAUGGCCAGAACCUGUAUCCUGUAACUGGAGAGGCCCCAGUGAGUCAAGCUCCCGUGUCCCAGGCCCAGAAAGGCUGGGUGAGUUGGUCAGGGGUCCCAGUGAGUCCGUGGCACGCUUAGGCUUCAAGCCCUGGUCUCCAGAAUUUUAGGGCUGAGUUUCUCUUCAAUCCUGGGCUGUGCUUCAGCUUCUACUUCCUCCAAAGCAAAUGCACCCAAGAAGAAAACAGGAGUUAAACAGAAGCACUGCCAUCAGGUUGCUGAGCUGAGCAAACAAAACCCGAAUAUGACACACUGGCAAGUUAAGUACUUUGAACUAAGGGAAAGGCCUCCAAAGUAGCCUCAGAAACAAAGUCUCUCGCCCUCUUCUGUCUCCUGCCCCUCUUUCUCCCCUGAGGGGAGUCGUAGAAACCAGAAUUUAUCUUCUCCAAGGUGAGACAUAGAAACUAGAUCGUCUCUCUCCCAAAGCAAGCCGUAAAACCUAAAAGGUCACCCUGUCCCUUCUCUCCUGAAGACCCUCAUUCUGGAAGGGUCCUGCCUCAGACCAUGGAAGGAAGGAAUGCUGCACAGAGAGACCAAGACGAAUCUGAACAGAAGGCCUUGCCGGGCCUUGCUGCUGUUACAGAAUCUUCGGGGUGUCGAUUUUCUGGCCAGACAUGGUACAUUUGCCCAAGUUCUCAUCCUGCAGUACACAGACAAGUGAAGGGCAAAGAAGACAAAGAUGAGCUUUAUUGAGUGUUACAACAACUUAGAAGAGACCGCGGUGGGUAGCUCCUCUCUGUAGGCAGAGCAUCCUUCAGUCAAGUGUUCAGUGCUCAGCAGAGAGGAGGCCCUGGAGAGGGUAGUUCCUCUCUGUAGCUGGUUGUGUCCCAUUGUCUCUCUGCCCUCUUUGUUCUCUGGCCAUCCUCUGCCCUGCUCUGGCUGAGCCCAGGGCUUCUAUGGACCUUAGAGAGAACCUGCUGAUUGGUACAAGAGUGGCCAUGGGUGGGCCAGAAGAGGCACCAUGAGUCCCCACUCCAGUUUGUUGGGACUGGCAGCUGGGAGGGGCAGCCCAGCCCUCAGCUUUCAGGCCCGCCCUCUCUAGCCUGAAGUUGGGGCCUUAAAUGGGGACCUGCCCCCAUCUACCCAGGCCUCCCACUGCCAUUCAUGGCCCUAGGGCUCAGCUCCAACCCUGCUCUGAGAUCAGAGCAGGUGCUGGGAGAGGAGAGAGGCCAGGAGGUGGAAGCAGCAGACACCCCGAGCCUGCAGAGAUGGGAUGAAGUGUCGGAGGGAGGAUUCCUGGGACCCUGGAGAGUGCAGGCUGCAGAGACUCCCAGGUCCUGCACCUGGAAGGGCAGCAGCUGCAGCUGCACCCCAGAACUCCCACCCCAGCAACUCAGAAGGGGCGGGGCUCCUGCUUAUCCCCAGUUCCUGCCAAUUCCGUGGAGCAGGAGGCCCAGAUCUGCAGCUGCUGGUCAGGGGGUUGCAGCGGCACCUAGGAGGGCAGAUCUUGCCUGCUCCUGGCCGGCUCCAACAGCACAGAGAACCUGGGCCACAGCUGCAGUUUGGAUAGCUGUGGCCCCACCCAGGAGGGCAAGGCUCCUGCCUGCUCCACAGAGCAGGAGGCCAGGGUCUGCAGGCACGGUUUGGGCAGCUGCAGCGGCACCCAGGGAGCUCCUGCCCCGACUCAGAAGGGGUGGGGUGCCCACCAGCUCCAUGGAGUAUGCAGCCCCAGCCAUGCCUCCCUGCUGUAGCCAGUGGGAUGCCAGCAGCCACUGCCAUCACCAGUCUUCCCCUCUCAGUCUGUUACCGCCAGACCAUGCCCUUUUGUCCAAUCCCAUUUCCACACGGCUGUCUAUCCUUCAAUCCAAGUGUAAAAAUAGACCAUUUUUCAGGAGUCAUUGGCCUUCCAUUUCUGAAGGCUUUGUCUUUUCAUGUGACAAAGUUUCAUGUCACAUAAAAUUUUGAUUAAAUAAAUGUGGUAUG